CCCAGACCCAGAGUCCUUUACCCAGACACCCAGACCCAGAGCCCUAGCCCUCUACUCAGAGCCCUGUACCCAGACAAUCAGACCCAGAGCCCUCUACCCAGACACCCAGACCCAGAGCCCUGUACCCAAACCCAGAGCCCUCUGCCCAGACACCCAAACCCAGAGCCCUCUACCCAGACACCCAGACCCAGAGUCCUCUACCCAGACAUCCAAACCCAGAGCCCUCUGCCCAGACACCCAGACCCAGAGCCCUCUACCCAGACACCUCUACCCAGAUACCCAGACCCAGGUUCCCAGACCCAGAGCCCUCUACCCAGACACCCAGACCCAGAGUCCUUUACCCAGACCCAGAGCCCUGUACCCAGACCCAGAGUCCUGUACCCAGACAAUCAGACCCAGAGCCCUGUACCCAGACACCCAGAGCC
Molecule: long non-coding RNA, 425 nt
Filed under: Salmo salar (Atlantic salmon)
Lineage: Eukaryota; Metazoa; Chordata; Actinopteri; Salmoniformes; Salmonidae
Description: lncRNA (ENSSSAG00000087466.1, ENSSSAG00000106638.1)
Source: RNAcentral